GACGAACGCUGGCGGCGUGCUUAACACAUGCAAGUCGAACGAAGAGCGAUGGAAGCUUGCUUCUAUCACUCCUAGUGGCGCACGGGUGAGUAACGCGUAAUCAACCUGCCCUUCAGAGGGGGACAACAGUUGGAAACGACUGCUAAUACCGCAUACGAUCUAAUCUCGGCAUCGAGGAUAGAUGAAAGGUGGCCUCUACAUGUAAGCUAUCACUGAAGGAGGGGAUUGCGUCUGAUUAGCUAGUUGGAGGGGUAACGGCCCACCAAGGCGAUGAUCAGUAGCCGGUCUGAGAGGAUGAACGGCCACAUUGGGACUGAGACACGGCCCAGACUCCUACGGGAGGCAGCAGUGGGGAAUCUUCCGCAAUGGACGGAAGUCUGACGGAGCAACGCCGCGUGAGUGAUGACGGCCUUCGGGUUGUAAAGCUCUGUUAAUCGGGACGAAAGGCCUUCUUGCGAAUAGUGAGAAGGAUUGACGGUACCGGAAUAGAAAGCCACGGCUAACUACGUG
This 510-nucleotide ribosomal RNA is filed under the name uncultured bacterium. RNAcentral's name for it is "partial 16S ribosomal RNA". It matches the Rfam family "Bacterial small subunit ribosomal RNA", at positions 28 to 507 of the family's 1533-position model. The record is from RNAcentral.